UUGCGAAUAUUCUCGCCUGUUUGACCAGUCCAUGGUCAAAUCAGGGCUAGUAGUUCGCUAUAGUGAUACCAACACGAGAGCAAACAGACCUGACAUCUGUACCUCGUCUGUUCUCAACCUGCACCUUUUGGUUACAUGA
RNAcentral lists this small nucleolar RNA (139 nucleotides) under Anabas testudineus (climbing perch). Its description in RNAcentral is "Small nucleolar RNA SNORA72 (ENSATEG00000020532.2)". It matches the Rfam family "Small nucleolar RNA SNORA72". Rfam says of the family: U72 is a member of the H/ACA class of snoRNAs. The record is from Rfam by way of RNAcentral. Lineage: Eukaryota; Metazoa; Chordata; Actinopteri; Anabantiformes; Anabantidae.